GACGAACGCUGGCGGCGUGCUUAACACAUGCAAGUCGAACGGAAAGGCCCUGCUUUUGUGGGGUGCUCGAGUGGCGAACGGGUGAGUAACACGUGAGUAACCUGCCCUUGACUUUGGGAUAACUUCAGGAAACUGGGGCUAAUACCGGAUAGGAGCUCCUGCUGCAUGGUGGGGGUUGGAAAGUUUCGGCGGUUGGGGAUGGACUCGCGGCUUAUCAGCUUGUUGGUGGGGUAGUGGCUUACCAAGGCUUUGACGGGUAGCCGGCCUGAGAGGGUGACCGGCCACAUUGGGGCUGAGAUACGGCCCAGACUCCUACGGGGGGCAGCAGUGGGGAAUAUUGCACAAUGGGCGGAAGCCUGAUGCAGCAACGCCGCGUGCGGGAUGACGGCCUUCGGGUUGUAAACCGCUUUCGCCUGUGACGAAGCGUGAGUGACGGUAAUGGGUAAAGAAGCACCGGCUAACUACGUG
This 468-nucleotide ribosomal RNA is filed under the name uncultured bacterium. Its description in RNAcentral is "partial 16S ribosomal RNA". It matches the Rfam family "Bacterial small subunit ribosomal RNA", at positions 28 to 507 of the family's 1533-position model. The record is from RNAcentral.